Molecule: ribosomal RNA, 2834 nt
Filed under: Staphylococcus aureus subsp. aureus Z172
Lineage: Bacteria; Bacillati; Bacillota; Bacilli; Caryophanales; Staphylococcaceae
Description: bacterial LSU rRNA
Rfam family: Bacterial large subunit ribosomal RNA
Source: RNAcentral
GAUUAAGUUAUUAAGGGCGCACGGUGGAUGCCUUGGCACUAGAAGCCGAUGAAGGACGUUACUAACGACGAUAUGCUUUGGGGAGCUGUAAGUAAGCUUUGAUCCAGAGAUUUCCGAAUGGGGAAACCCAGCAUGAGUUAUGUCAUGUUAUCGAUAUGUGAAUACAUAGCAUAUCAGAAGGCACACCCGGAGAACUGAAACAUCUUAGUACCCGGAGGAAGAGAAAGAAAAUUCGAUUCCCUUAGUAGCGGCGAGCGAAACGGGAAGAGCCCAAACCAACAAGCUUGCUUGUUGGGGUUGUAGGACACUCUAUACGGAGUUACAAAGGACGACAUUAGACGAAUCAUCUGGAAAGAUGAAUCAAAGAAGGUAAUAAUCCUGUAGUCGAAAAUGUUGUCUCUCUUGAGUGGAUCCUGAGUACGACGGAGCACGUGAAAUUCCGUCGGAAUCUGGGAGGACCAUCUCCUAAGGCUAAAUACUCUCUAGUGACCGAUAGUGAACCAGUACCGUGAGGGAAAGGUGAAAAGCACCCCGGAAGGGGAGUGAAAUAGAACCUGAAACCGUGUGCUUACAAGUAGUCAGAGCCCGUUAAUGGGUGAUGGCGUGCCUUUUGUAGAAUGAACCGGCGAGUUACGAUUUGAUGCAAGGUUAAGCAGUAAAUGUGGAGCCGUAGCGAAAGCGAGUCUGAAUAGGGCGUUUAGUAUUUGGUCGUAGACCCGAAACCAGGUGAUCUACCCUUGGUCAGGUUGAAGUUCAGGUAACACUGAAUGGAGGACCGAACCGACUUACGUUGAAAAGUGAGCGGAUGAACUGAGGGUAGCGGAGAAAUUUCAAUCGAACCUGGAGAUAGCUGGUUCUCUCCGAAAUAGCUUUAGGGCUAGCCUCAAGUGAUGAUUAUUGGAGGUAGAGCACUGUUUGGACGAGGGGCCCCUCUCGGGUUACCGAAUUCAGACAAACUCCGAAUGCCAAUUAAUUUAACUUGGGAGUCAGAACAUGGGUGAUAAGGUCCGUGUUCGAAAGGGAAACAGCCCAGACCACCAGCUAAGGUCCCAAAAUAUAUGUUAAGUGGAAAAGGAUGUGGCGUUGCCCAGACAACUAGGAUGUUGGCUUAGAAGCAGCCAUCAUUUAAAGAGUGCGUAAUAGCUCACUAGUCGAGUGACACUGCGCCGAAAAUGUACCGGGGCUAAACAUAUUACCGAAGCUGUGGAUUGUCCUUUGGACAAUGGUAGGAGAGCGUUCUAAGGGCGUUGAAGCAUGAUCGUAAGGACAUGUGGAGCGCUUAGAAGUGAGAAUGCCGGUGUGAGUAGCGAAAGACGGGUGAGAAUCCCGUCCACCGAUUGACUAAGGUUUCCAGAGGAAGGCUCGUCCGCUCUGGGUUAGUCGGGUCCUAAGCUGAGGCCGACAGGCGUAGGCGAUGGAUAACAGGUUGAUAUUCCUGUACCACCUAUAAUCGUUUUAAUCGAUGGGGGGACGCAGUAGGAUAGGCGAAGCGUGCGAUUGGAUUGCACGUCUAAGCAGUAAGGCUGAGUAUUAGGCAAAUCCGGUACUCGUUAAGGCUGAGCUGUGAUGGGGAGAAGACAUUGUGUCUUCGAGUCGUUGAUUUCACACUGCCGAGAAAAGCCUCUAGAUAGAAAAUAGGUGCCCGUACCGCAAACCGACACAGGUAGUCAAGAUGAGAAUUCUAAGGUGAGCGAGCGAACUCUCGUUAAGGAACUCGGCAAAAUGACCCCGUAACUUCGGGAGAAGGGGUGCUCUUUAGGGUUAACGCCCAGAAGAGCCGCAGUGAAUAGGCCCAAGCGACUGUUUAUCAAAAACACAGGUCUCUGCUAAACCGUAAGGUGAUGUAUAGGGGCUGACGCCUGCCCGGUGCUGGAAGGUUAAGAGGAGUGGUUAGCUUCUGCGAAGCUACGAAUCGAAGCCCCAGUAAACGGCGGCCGUAACUAUAACGGUCCUAAGGUAGCGAAAUUCCUUGUCGGGUAAGUUCCGACCCGCACGAAAGGCGUAACGAUUUGGGCACUGUCUCAACGAGAGACUCGGUGAAAUCAUAGUACCUGUGAAGAUGCAGGUUACCCGCGACAGGACGGAAAGACCCCGUGGAGCUUUACUGUAGCCUGAUAUUGAAAUUCGGCACAGCUUGUACAGGAUAGGUAGGAGCCUUUGAAACGUGAGCGCUAGCUUACGUGGAGGCGCUGGUGGGAUACUACCCUAGCUGUGUUGGCUUUCUAACCCGCACCACUUAUCGUGGUGGGAGACAGUGUCAGGCGGGCAGUUUGACUGGGGCGGUCGCCUCCUAAAAGGUAACGGAGGCGCUCAAAGGUUCCCUCAGAAUGGUUGGAAAUCAUUCAUAGAGUGUAAAGGCAUAAGGGAGCUUGACUGCGAGACCUACAAGUCGAGCAGGGUCGAAAGACGGACUUAGUGAUCCGGUGGUUCCGCAUGGAAGGGCCAUCGCUCAACGGAUAAAAGCUACCCCGGGGAUAACAGGCUUAUCUCCCCCAAGAGUUCACAUCGACGGGGAGGUUUGGCACCUCGAUGUCGGCUCAUCGCAUCCUGGGGCUGUAGUCGGUCCCAAGGGUUGGGCUGUUCGCCCAUUAAAGCGGUACGCGAGCUGGGUUCAGAACGUCGUGAGACAGUUCGGUCCCUAUCCGUCGUGGGCGUAGGAAAUUUGAGAGGAGCUGUCCUUAGUACGAGAGGACCGGGAUGGACAUACCUCUGGUGUACCAGUUGUCGUGCCAACGGCAUAGCUGGGUAGCUAUGUGUGGACGGGAUAAGUGCUGAAAGCAUCUAAGCAUGAAGCCCCCCUCAAGAUGAGAUUUCCCAACUUCGGUUAUAAGAUC